This 252-nucleotide ribosomal RNA is filed under the name uncultured bacterium. RNAcentral describes it as "partial 16S ribosomal RNA". It matches the Rfam family "Bacterial small subunit ribosomal RNA", at positions 524 to 776 of the family's 1533-position model. The record is from RNAcentral.
UACGUAGGGGGCUAGCGUUGUCCGGAUUCAUUGGGCGUAAGCGCGUGUAGGCGGCCAGACCGGUCCGUUGUGAAAACUCGAGGCUCAACCUCGAGACGUCGACGGAAACCGUCUGGCUAGAGUCCGGAAGAGGAGUGUGGAAUUCCUGGUGUAGCGGUGAAAUGCGCAGAUAUCAGGAAGAACACCCGUGGCUAAGGCGGUUCUCUAGUACGGUACUGACGCUGAGACGCGAAAGCGUGGGGAGCGAACAGG